Molecule: ribosomal RNA, 376 nt
Filed under: uncultured bacterium
Lineage: Bacteria
Description: bacterial SSU rRNA
Rfam family: Bacterial small subunit ribosomal RNA
Source: RNAcentral
UACGUAGGGGGCGAGCGUUGCUCGGAUUGACUGGGCGUAAAGCGCGCGUAGGCGGUCCAUUAAGUGUGUGGUGAAAUGCAGAGGCUCAACCUCUGUCCCGCCGCGCAAACUGGUGGUCUUGAGAUUGGGAGGGGGAUGCGGAAUUCCUGGUGUAGCGGUGAAAUGCAUUGAUAUCAGGAGGAACACCGGCGGCGAAGGCGGCAUCCUGGCUUAUAUCUGACGCUGAGGCGCGAAAGCGUGGGUAGCAAACGGGAUUAGAUACCCCGGUAGUCCACGCCGUAAACGAUGGAUACUAGGUGUGGGAGGUCUCGACCCCUCCCGUGCCGUAGCAAACGCGUUAAGUAUCCCGCCUGGGGAGUACGGCCGCAAGGUUGAA